CAUAUGGUGCUAAGUAUGGAAAGGUCUCUUGUGGUUUGGUUGUGCCAGAGACAAAUGUGCAUUAUUUCCAUGUUGGGUCAGAAGUCUCGGUACACUUUAGGUGAGUGACAGUUGGGUAGAUGGAUGACCUUCAGAUAGUUUAAGUGAAGAAGUUCUUUUAAAUGAUUGAAAGUGAUCAUCAUAGAAUCAACUCCAUUAUGAAGAUAAAUUGUGAGAGUCAGCACUCCUGAGAGAUCUGAGUACCCAGCCUACUGUUGAAUUAAUUAGUGACCCAGAAAAGAUGACAGAGAGGGGAAUCAAAUAUGGAUGCCAUCAUGAUCAAGAAUAUAUACAUUGACUAGAAAAUAUCUGAAAAUAUAUUGAUGAACAUUCAAGCAUUUAUAAUAAUGAAAGUUAUUCCGCA
Long non-coding RNA from Saccostrea echinata, 403 nucleotides. RefSeq lists it as uncharacterized. Lineage: Eukaryota; Metazoa; Mollusca; Bivalvia; Ostreida; Ostreidae. The record is from RefSeq and is a predicted model, not a curated record. The transcript is spliced from 3 exons.